AGGGGUGGAUCGCAUGCUGUGCAAAUUUUGGAAAUUCACAAGCUCCAGUCAAGAGACUCUUCUGAAACAUUGUUGCCUUCGCCACGGAAAAGACUUUGUUACUUAGGGUAGUUGUCUCCUCCAAAGAAGCCCGGCGAAUCCAGCUUCCUGAAGUACCAGGAUCUGUGGCCCAACUGAUUGAUGUGCUUAAAGAGAAACUCUAACUUGAAGAAUUCAAUCGGAUCACCACUAGAGACCUCCUGGGGAUUUUCAGUGCUUCCCUUGACAAACAUGUCCCUUGCC
Molecule: long non-coding RNA, 282 nt
Organism: Cottoperca gobio
Lineage: Eukaryota; Metazoa; Chordata; Actinopteri; Perciformes; Bovichtidae
Exons: 3
Source: RefSeq, a predicted model, not a curated record